This 63-nucleotide transfer RNA is filed under the name Monomia gladiator. Its description in RNAcentral is "tRNA-His". The record is from RNAcentral. Lineage: Eukaryota; Metazoa; Arthropoda; Malacostraca; Decapoda; Portunidae.
ACUCAAAUAGUUUAAAAAAAAUAUUAGCUUGUGGCGCUUGGGAUGUAAUAAUUACUUUGAGUG